Molecule: ribosomal RNA, 540 nt
Filed under: uncultured Escherichia sp.
Lineage: Bacteria; Pseudomonadati; Pseudomonadota; Gammaproteobacteria; Enterobacterales; Enterobacteriaceae
Description: bacterial SSU rRNA
Rfam family: Bacterial small subunit ribosomal RNA
Source: RNAcentral
UAACACAUGCAAGUCGAACGGUAACAGAAAGCAGCUUGCUGCUUUGCUGACGAGUGGCGGACGGGUGAGUAAUGUCUGGGAAACUGCCUGAUGGAGGGGGAUAACUACUGGAAACGGUAGCUAAUACCGCAUAACGUCGCAAGACCAAAGAGGGGGACCUUCGGGCCUCUUGCCAUCGGAUGUGCCCAGAUGGGAUUAGCUAGUAGGUGGGGUAACGGCUCACCUAGGCGACGAUCCCUAGCUGGUCUGAGAGGAUGACCAGCCACACUGGAACUGAGACACGGUCCAGACUCCUACGGGAGGCAGCAGUGGGGAAUAUUGCACAAUGGGCGCAAGCCUGAUGCAGCCAUGCCGCGUGUAUGAAGAAGGCCUUCGGGUUGUAAAGUACUUUCAGCGGGGAGGAAGGGAGUAAAGUUAAUACCUUUGCUCAUUGACGUUACCCGCAGAAGAAGCACCGGCUAACUCCGUGCCAGCAGCCGCGGUAAUACGGAGGGUGCAAGCGUUAAUCGGAAUUACUGGGCGUAAAGCGCACGCAGGCGG